GUGGGGUAUGGGGACAUGUAUCCCAUGACAAUUGGUGGCAAGAUUGUGGGUUCCUUGUGUGCCAUCGCAGGUGUGCUCACCAUUGCCCUCCCUGUCCCUGUCAUCGUGUCCAAC
This is a non-coding RNA of Gavia stellata (red-throated loon), 114 nucleotides long. NCBI's taxonomy places the organism in Eukaryota, Metazoa, Chordata, Aves, Gaviiformes, Gaviidae. The record is from Rfam.